UUACAUUCAUAUUAAACCUUUGGAAGUCAGCGAGACGCCCGGAAGAAGCUGCUGGGCCCGCUAAGAUCAGAGCGCUGGAGCUGAAAAACACAGCGACCCCAGCUGGACAAAAGGAACUACUGCUUCAGACUUACUACAUGGUGAAGCUGAUUGUCUACAUGUGCCAGGAUUGGUUUGCUCUGCAAAAAGGACGUCUGGAGAUGGACGUCUGGGUUGCUCCUAAUGGGUGCUCGUCUGCAAAGGGAGAUUUGAAGCUCUAUUUACAUAUUCCCACCAGGCUGUCAGAGAUGUACUGGGUUUAAUGUGUUUAAAGCAGUGAUGCUGCUUAAUUAAAAGGC
Long non-coding RNA from Xiphophorus couchianus (Monterrey platyfish), 338 nucleotides. RefSeq lists it as uncharacterized. The transcript is spliced from 3 exons. NCBI's taxonomy places the organism in Eukaryota, Metazoa, Chordata, Actinopteri, Cyprinodontiformes, Poeciliidae. The record is from RefSeq and is a predicted model, not a curated record.